CCUUCCUGUCUCACUUUCUCUCUGUGAUUUCGAGGAUCACCAUCUAAGCAAAGUACAUGCACUUCGCUCCCUGCUUUCAGGGUUUGCUUCCUGGGGAAUCUCGCCUUGAGAUUGAAGAUCCUUGAAGGAUUGUUGUGAUAAAUGAAAAACACACUUCAAAGGCUUCAACAUGAUACUAGGUCUCAGGUCCGGGUGGCCUCUGGCCUCGGGUGAAGCCAUGGGCGCAGAAACGCACAAGAGUCUGGGAGUCUCAGAGCAUGGGAAGGCGCAGAAAGGAGCUUCCUGUACGCUCUCUGUCAGGCCAGAAUACAGAGGUGGGACCCCAUCAGUGGUUGGCGCCCAACCCCAGGAGGGCUCGAGCCAGACGGUGAGCAAACGUAUGCUUUUCUCUUCAAUCAGAGGCAUCUAUAUACAUAGGGAAUGUUAUAGCCCAUUGAAAAAUAAAUAAUCCCCCCAGGAAAUGCCCCCAUC
This 471-nucleotide long non-coding RNA is filed under the name Capra hircus (goat). Its description in RNAcentral is "lncRNA (ENSCHIG00000007810.1)". The record is from RNAcentral. Lineage: Eukaryota; Metazoa; Chordata; Mammalia; Artiodactyla; Bovidae.